AAUGGUAUAUGAAUCCGGCCCUUGGAUUUGUAAAUGUUGUUCUGUGGGAUAUAGGCUCGAUGUUAUGGCACAUGAAUAACCAUAAAAUUGCUAUGGAUGGGGUGAGAUCUAUCUGAUGCCAGUCUGCUGUAGGUAGAGGCCAAGCAUUUUCACGUCCCAACAAUAUUUCUGCAACCUCAUACCAGUUGAAGUCUUCGGGAAUAGGGACCACAUUAUUCCAGGAUAACUGAUAGUAGUCAUGAAUUACCUCUGGUGAAAACAUAAUCCAUUUGCCCCUAACCCAAGUCUGAUGUAAGUGCUCCGAUCCGGGAGUGUCGAUUUCUGUGUUGAAGUUUGCAUAAAAUUCCUUUGCUAGAUUCUCAUACACCGGAUGACGUCUUUCUAUUACCUUCUCCCAGCCACAAUUUGAAUAAGAUAUGUCAAUUCAAAGUUGGGGAAGUCUUCUAACUUUACUGGCCUCUCGGGAAUGAUUGCCCAAUCGCGCACAACAUUGGAGUAUCGGGCUGUCGUAUCUGAUGAUAGGAAUCUUCGAACACCCCCUUCGGGUUCUCUUGUUCUGGCCGUUCCAGAUGAGGAGCCGACUUUCUCUUUUCCCUUUGAAGUUCUUUUAGGAGGCAUCCUGCAAAAGGAAAUACACAAUAUCACUUACUUGGUAUAGGAAUAACGGGCAUUAAUAAUCUUUGAAUUCAUAAUCCCCCAAACUUUCUUCAACAUGCAAAUGUACGUAUGCUUAUGCAAUUUUUCAAGACAUGAAUCACCAAUAUAACUCUAACUUUGCAUAAGUUGGAAAACUCAAAACUAU
Molecule: long non-coding RNA, 802 nt
Filed under: Olea europaea (common olive)
Lineage: Eukaryota; Viridiplantae; Streptophyta; Magnoliopsida; Lamiales; Oleaceae
Description: long non-coding RNA (OEUR_LNC014028)
Source: RNAcentral